AGAUUGAACGCUGGCGGCAUGCUUUACACAUGCAAGUCGAACGGUAACAGGCCGCAAGGUGCUGACGAGUGGCGAACGGGUGAGUAAUGUAUCGGAACGUGCCCAGUCGUGGGGGAUAACGCAGCGAAAGCUGCGCUAAUACCGCAUACGAUCUAUGGAUGAAAGCGGGGGACCGUAAGGCCUCGCGCGAUUGGAGCGGCCGAUAUCAGAUUAGGUAGUUGGUGGGGUAAAGGCUCACCAAGCCAACGAUCUGUAGCUGGUCUGAGAGGACGACCAGCCACACUGGGACUGAGACACGGCCCAGACUCCUACGGGAGGCAGCAGUGGGGAAUUUUGGACAAUGGGCGCAAGCCUGAUCCAGCAAUGCCGCGUGCAGGAAGAAGGCCUUCGGUUGUAAACCUCUUUCAGCAGGACGAAGCGCAAGUGACGGUACCUGCAGAAGAAGCACCGGCUAACUACGUGCCAGCAGCCG
Molecule: ribosomal RNA, 472 nt
Filed under: uncultured soil bacterium
Lineage: Bacteria
Description: bacterial SSU rRNA
Rfam family: Bacterial small subunit ribosomal RNA
Source: RNAcentral